GACGAACGCUGGCGGCGUGCUUAACACAUGCAAGUCGAACGGAAAGGCCUCUUUCGGGGGGUACUCGAGUGGCGAACGGGUGAGUAACACGUGAGUAACCUGCCCUUGACUUUGGGGUAACUUCAGGAAACUGGGGCUAAUACCGGCUAGGAGCUCCUGCUGCAUGGUGGGGGUUGGAAAGUUUCGGCGGUUGGGGGUGGGCUCGCGGCUUAUCAGCUUGUUGGUGGGGUAGUGGCUUACCAAGGCUUUGACGGGUAGCCGGCCUGAGAGGGUGACCGGCCACAUUGGGACUGAGAUGAGGCCCCGACGGCGACGGGAGGAAGCAGGGGGGAAUCUUGAACAAGGGGUGGAAGCCGGAUGCAGCAACGCCGUGGGCGGGAUGACGGUCUUCGGGUUGUAAAACGCUUUCGCUCAUGACGAAGCGUUGUGUGACGGUAGUGGGUAAAGAAGCACCGGCUAACUACGUG
Molecule: ribosomal RNA, 467 nt
Filed under: uncultured bacterium
Lineage: Bacteria
Description: partial 16S ribosomal RNA
Rfam family: Bacterial small subunit ribosomal RNA
Source: RNAcentral